AUACGGAGGAUGCGAGCGUUAUCCGGAUUUAUUGGGUUUAAAGGGUGCGUAGGCUGUGCGUUAAGUCAGGGGUGAAAUGCAGUCGCUCAACGACGGAGCUGCCCUUGAUACUGGCGUGCUGGAGAACGGAUGACGUUGGAGGAAUGAGUGGUGUAGCGGUGAAAUGCUUAGAUAUCCCUCAGAACACCGAUUGCGAAGGCAUCUGACGAAUCCGUCACUGACGCUGAGGCACGAAAGCGUGGGGAUAGAACAGGAUUAGAUACCCUGGUAUUCCACGCCGUAAACGAUGAUGACUAACCGUCGGCGAUAGACAGCCGGUGGCCAAGCGAAAGCGAUAAGUCAUCCACCUGGGGAGUACGUCGGCAACGAUGAAACUCAAAUGAAUUGACGGGG
Molecule: ribosomal RNA, 393 nt
Filed under: uncultured bacterium
Lineage: Bacteria
Description: partial 16S ribosomal RNA
Rfam family: Bacterial small subunit ribosomal RNA
Source: RNAcentral